Molecule: ribosomal RNA, 529 nt
Filed under: Nassarius coronatus
Lineage: Eukaryota; Metazoa; Mollusca; Gastropoda; Neogastropoda; Nassariidae
Description: partial 16S ribosomal RNA
Rfam family: Bacterial large subunit ribosomal RNA
Source: RNAcentral
AAACAUGGCUCCUUGACUUUUAAUAAUGAGGAGUCGGACCUGCCCAGUGAAUUUUCAACGGCCGCGGUACUCUGACCGUGCAAAGGUAGCAUAAUCAUUUGCCUUAUAAUUGAAGGCUAGUAUGAAUGGUUUGACAAGAAUGAAGCUGUCUCUUUAUAAUUUAGUAGAAUUUUAUUUUUAGGUGAAGAAGCCUAAGUAAAAUUAAAAGACAAGAAGACCCUAUCGAGCUUAAAAAAAGUUAAUAGAAUUAAGCUAAUCGAUGUUUAUAAAAGAUUGUCUAUUAAAUAUUUUAGUUGGGGCGACUGAGGAACAUAAGAAGCUUCCUUUAAAUAAAUUAAUUAAAAUCAGACUAGAAUUGAUCCAAAAUUAUUUUGAUUAAAGAAAUUAGUUACCGUAGGGAUAACAGCAUUAUCUUUUUUAAGAGCUCAUAUCGAAAAAAAGGUUUGUGACCUCGAUGUUGGACCAGAAUAUCCUAAAGGUGCAGCAGUCUUUAAGGGUUGGUCUGUUCGACCAUUAAAAUUCUACGUGA